GCCUGGCUGGCUCAGUCAGUAGAGCAUGUGAUUCUUGAUCUCAGGAACGGGAGUUCAAGCCCCACACUGGGUG
RNAcentral lists this transfer RNA (73 nucleotides) under Canis lupus familiaris (dog). It matches the Rfam family "tRNA". Rfam says of the family: Transfer RNA (tRNA) molecules are approximately 80 nucleotides in length. Their secondary structure includes four short double-helical elements and three loops (D, anti-codon, and T loops). The record is from Rfam by way of RNAcentral. Lineage: Eukaryota; Metazoa; Chordata; Mammalia; Carnivora; Canidae. RNAcentral also lists the same sequence under 1 other name.